AUGCGUAGCCUGAGCCCCCUGUACUCUCUCCUCCUCCUCCUUACCGGCGCAACCAUGGCCGCCGCGGACCCUUGGUCCACCGACUGCCCGAGCGACACAAACUACACCCGCGGUGGUGUCUUCCAGGCCAACCUCGACGCCCUCCUCUUGUUCCUCCCCGCCGCUGCGUCGGACGCGUCCAGGUUGGCCAAGAACACCACCGGCACAGCGCCCGACGAGGCGUACGGUCUCGCGCACUGCCGCGCCGACGUCAAUGCAUCCGAGUGCCGCUCGUGCCUCGACACCUGGGCGCGGGACGCAGACAUCAAGUGCCCCGGCCAGAAAAAGUCCACGCUCUUCUACGACGCCUGCCUCCUGCGCCACUAGAACGUGAGCUUCUUCGGCGUCGCCGACAUGUCGUGGCUGACCGGCUUAUGCAACGCGGUGAACGCGACGCAGCCCGAGCUGUUCAAGACGCAGCUGGGCGCGCUGAUGAACAACCUCAGCAGCAAGGCGUCGUCGUCCCCGCGACUGUUCGCGGCCGACACGGUCGACUUGACGCCCUUCACCAAGAUCCACGACAUGUCCCAGUGCACGCGCGACCUCGCCGGCGACGACUGCAACCGCUGCCUCGCCGUAGCCGUCUCGUACAUCCCGAAAUUUUGCGACGGGAGGGAGGGAGGACAGGUCGCCACCCGGAGCUGCUCCAUCCGGUACGAGUUGUAUCCUUUCUACAACGCACAGGCCCUAGAAGAUAGGGUAAAUUAUUCUGAAUUUCCUUUUGACCGAGAGCGGCGACGACGAAUCUUCCCUGGGGUUGCAGCAAACGACGAUGCCACAGCCAAGAUAGCUCUGUUCGUCUCCAUUCCUGUUGCUGUCGUGCUAUUGGUGCUGUUGACAGUUGCUUUGUAUCUCUGCAAGAGGAAUAACAAGAAACCACACGAACAUGUGCAGAUAUCCAGCGCGGACAAUGAGUAUGGAGGAGACAUGGGAAGCUCAGAGUCUCCGUUGUACGAUUUCAGCACUCUAAGGGCUGCCACUGACAACUUCUCUGAAGAAAAUAAUCUCAGGGAAGGCGGGUUUGGGCCGGUCUACAAAGGCAUUCUGCGGGAUGGGCAGGAGAUCGCGGUGAAGAGGCUGUCGAAGACCUCCCAGCAAGGGCUCGUGGAGAUGAGGAACGAGGUUGUGCUGGUGGCCAAGCUUCAGCACAAGAAUCUGGUGCGCUUGCUCGGCUGCUGCAUCCAAGAGGAGGAGAUGCUCCUCGUCUACGAGUUCCUCUUCAACAGAAGCCUCAACAAGAUUCUAUUCGAUCCUGCGAGGCAGCAAGAGCUUACCUGGGGGCACAGGUUCAGAAUCAUCCAGGGGAUCAGGCGAGGCCUUCUUUACCUCCACGAAGAUUCGAGGCAGGACCGGGGCGUGCACAACUCAGUUCAGGUUCGAGGGGGUUCGGACUGA
RNAcentral lists this ribosomal RNA (1434 nucleotides) under Triticum aestivum (bread wheat). RNAcentral describes it as "partial small subunit ribosomal RNA". The record is from RNAcentral. Lineage: Eukaryota; Viridiplantae; Streptophyta; Magnoliopsida; Poales; Poaceae.